Molecule: long non-coding RNA, 728 nt
Organism: Gadus macrocephalus (Pacific cod)
Lineage: Eukaryota; Metazoa; Chordata; Actinopteri; Gadiformes; Gadidae
Exons: 3
Source: RefSeq, a predicted model, not a curated record
AAAACCUGCAAAUAGGAGACGUUGUCCUUCUCAAAGACAGUCAAGCUACCCGCAACAACUGGCCCAUGGCUAACAUCACAGAGGCCUUCCCUGGAGAAGACGGAGGGGUGAGGAAGGUGGAAUUGAGGACCACAAAUCAGGGACAUUCAAAAACUUUCUUCAGACCAGUCUCAGAAGUUGUCUUACUUCUUACUAAAGACUGAUGUUCAGAGACUCAUGUAGUCCAUCUGGGUCAAUUAAUGACCUCACAGAGGUCAGACGGGGAGUGUGUUGCCUUUCACGCAUAAAUCUGAAUGGACUUUUGCUUUGAAAGAGCUCUUAUUUUGAAGGGCAGCUUUCACCCUAAUGUUCCCGGGUCAUAGGUUUGUUUUGGUUUAGUAGUCUGAGGAGGCUAACCGAAUUUGCAUAGCUACAUUUCUGUGUUCAACCGCAUGAUUGUAUCACUGUAAACGUCACAGAGGCAACGUCCAUGACAUAACACAUCUCAGGAAGUGGUAGUGCUCCACUUUGUUGGAGAAUCUCCAUAUUGAGGGUCAUUGCAGACGGUUUGCUCAUUUCACGGAGGACAGAGAGAUGGCAAGAGGAACUCUACCACCUAUCUUCGGUAUCCCGAGGAAGCGCAAAGUGUCUGAAAUGGAGGAGAAAUAAUAUUUAUCUUUUCUCUAUUUCUUUAUUUUUUAUUGGUUUGUCUGAAGAGAAGAGCAGAAAAUAAAAUUUAUAAUAAUGGA